ACGGACUGACGGACGGACUGACGGACGGACGGACGAGGCCGCCGGAGGCAGCGGCUGCCCCGGAGCCGCCGGGUGCGAGGAGGACUGCCUUGGACUGUGAGACACCUGGACAAGGUGAUGCACUUGUACCUACAGGGUCAGGCCUGGAUGGCUGGGAUUUAAGAUUUUGCCAAAGGAAACUCAAUCAGAUUUAAGCCUUCACGACUACUCCUAAGGAAGAGAGCAUUAAG
Agelaius phoeniceus (red-winged blackbird) is the source of this 230-nucleotide non-coding RNA. Lineage: Eukaryota; Metazoa; Chordata; Aves; Passeriformes; Icteridae. The record is from RefSeq and is a predicted model, not a curated record.